AGCGUAGGUGGCCUAACAUGUCAACUGUGAAAACCCGGAGCUCAACUCCGGACUUGCGGUUGAAACUGGUAGGCUUGAGGACGGUAGAGGAAGACGGAACUGCCAGUGUAGGGGUAAAAUCCUUAGAUAUUGGCAGGAACGCCGGUGACGAAGGUGGUUUUCUGGGCCGGUUCUGACACUGAUGCUCGAAAGCCAGGGGGAGCGAACG
This 208-nucleotide ribosomal RNA is filed under the name uncultured Mesotoga sp. RNAcentral describes it as "partial 16S ribosomal RNA". It matches the Rfam family "Bacterial small subunit ribosomal RNA", at positions 568 to 774 of the family's 1533-position model. Lineage: Bacteria; Thermotogati; Thermotogota; Thermotogae; Kosmotogales; Kosmotogaceae. The record is from RNAcentral.